This is a non-coding RNA of Microcebus murinus (gray mouse lemur), 1470 nucleotides long. NCBI's taxonomy places the organism in Eukaryota, Metazoa, Chordata, Mammalia, Primates, Cheirogaleidae. The record is from RefSeq and is a predicted model, not a curated record.
AAUAAUCCUGCAAUCUGCCCGGGACUUGGAGGAGGAGGAGGAAGAAGAGGGCAUGGAGCAGGGGCUGGAGGAAGAAGAAGAAGAGGUGGACCCCUGGAUCCAGGGAGAACUGGAGAAGUUAAAUCAAUCCACGGAUGACAUCAACAGACAGGAGACUGAACUCGAGGAUGCCCGUCAGAUGUUCUGCUCUGUUCUGGUUGAAGCAACGGUGAAGCUGGACGAAUUGUUGAAGAAAAUCGGCAAAGCCGUGGAAGACUCGAAGCCCUACUGGGAGGCAUGGAGGGUGGCAAGGCAGGCUCAACUCGAAGCGCAGAAAGCCACUCAGGACUUCCAAAGGGUCACUGAGGCACUCCAUGCUGCCAAGGAGACCAUCUCCCUGGCUGAGCAGCAGCUGCUGGAGGAUGACAAGAGGCAUUUCGACUCAGCCUGGCAGGAGAUGCUGAAUCAUGCCACUCAGAGGGUCAUGGAAGUGGAGCAGACCAAAACAAGGAGCGAGCUGGUGCAUAAGGAGACAGCGGCCAGGUACAAUGCUGCUAUGGGCCACAUGAGACAGCUGGAGAAGAAAAGAGAGCCAUCAACAAGUCCAAGUCUUAUUUUGAACCCAAGGCAAAGUACUACGUGCAGCUUGAGCAACUGAGGAAGACCAUGGAUGACCUGCAGGCCAAACUUACGCUGGCAAAAGGCGAGUACAAGAUGGCCCUGAAGAACCUGGAUAAGAUCCGUUAGCAGUGGUGCUCCAGUGCCAUAGGACCUCAGGGCUGCGGCGUUGGGGCUGAGGGCAGUAGCACAUCUGUGGAGGACCUGUCAGGGAGCAAGCCUGAGUCGGAUACCGUUUCUGUGGCCUCGGAGGCCUUUGAAGAUGACAACUGUACCAACUUUGUGUCUGAAGAUGACUCAGAAACCCAGUCUGAAUCCGCCUUUAGUUCAGGACCAACGAGCCAGUCUGAGAUGCCCGACCAGUUCCCUGCAGCUGUGAGGCCUGGCAGCCUGGAUCUGUCCAGCCCUGCAUCCCUGUCGGAGUUUGGGAUGAUUUUCCCAGUCUUGGGCCCUCGAAGUGAAUGCAGUGGAGGCUCCUCCCCUGAAUGUGAGGUGGAACGAGGAGACAGGGCAGAAGGGGCAGAGAAUAAAAUGAGCGACAAAGCCAACAACAACCAGGAUCUCAGAAGGAAGAGAAUAAUUGUUAGAGGAACCUUAACCCCAAAGCAGUCUGCCUUAAGAGAAGGGAGGAAGAAAAAGUUUCUGCCAUAUUGGCAGAGCCGCCAACCACACUGCCUGGAACCCAUCCCAGGCUUAGUGAAACUACCAAACCUAUGGGUCAUAUGUAAACAUCAGCCAGCAUUUGUGGAGCUGGAUGAUAGACUAACCCAGCCAAAACAGGCCAGCCUAAUUCCUCCACCCGGCUUUGCAGUAGUGGUGAAUAAAGGACUCACCUGGAUGUACUCGGGCCCCACCCACCACCAGGGGCAUUAA